GGCAAGAUGGCCGAGCGGUCUAAGGCGCCACGUUAAGGAGAUAUCCUUAAUUCAAUAUCAAUGAUCCAUCCCGAUCUUGGGUCGGAUCAAAGAUGAUUCCGUGGUCCGAAAGGGCGUGGGUUCGAAUCCCACUCUUGUCA
This is a non-coding RNA of Cladorrhinum sp. PSN259, 140 nucleotides long. Lineage: Eukaryota; Fungi; Ascomycota; Sordariomycetes; Sordariales; Podosporaceae. The record is from the annotation of a GenBank genome assembly.